UACAGAGGUCCCGAGCGUUGUUCGGAUUCAUUGGGCGUAAAGGGUGCGUAGGUGGCGCGGUAAGUCGGGUGUGAAAUCUCGGAGCUUAACUCCGAAAUUGCAUUCGAUACUGCCGUGCUCGAGGACUGGAGAGGAGACUGGAAUUCAUGGUGUAGCAGUGAAAUGCGUAGAGAUCAUGAGGAAGACCAGUGGCGAAGGCGGGUCUCUGGACAGUUCCUGACACUGAGGCACGAAGGCCAAGGGAGCAAACGGG
Molecule: ribosomal RNA, 253 nt
Filed under: uncultured bacterium
Lineage: Bacteria
Description: partial 16S ribosomal RNA
Rfam family: Bacterial small subunit ribosomal RNA
Source: RNAcentral